GGUGCUGAGGCUUAGUUGGUUAAAGCGCCUGUCUAGUAAACAGGAGAUCCUGAGUUCAAAUCUCAGCAGCACAUUUCA
Molecule: non-coding RNA, 78 nt
Organism: Pseudophryne corroboree (corroboree frog)
Lineage: Eukaryota; Metazoa; Chordata; Amphibia; Anura; Myobatrachidae
Source: the annotation of a RefSeq genome assembly